GUAGGGAAUAUUGCGCAAUGGACGAAAGUCUGACGCAGCGACGCCGCGUGAGUGAUGAAGGCCUUAGGGUCGUAAAGCUCUGUUGAAUGGGAAGAAAAAAAUGACGGUACCAUUCGAGGAAGGACCGGCUAACUUCGUGCCAGCAGCCGCGGUAAUACGAGGGGUCCUAGCGUUGUUCGGAAUCAUUGGGCGUAAAGGGUGUGUAGGUGGCCAUGUAAGUCAGGUGUGAAAGCCCCGGGCUCAACCCGGGAAGUGCACUUGAUACUGCGUGGCUUGAGUACCGAAGAGGGUAGUGGAAUUCCAGGUGUAGUGGUGAAAUACGUAGCUAUCUGGAGGAACACCGGUGGCGAAGGCGGCUACCUGGUCGAGUACUGACACUGAGACACGAGAGCAUGGGGAUCAAACAGGAUUAGCAACCCUUGUAGUCC
RNAcentral lists this ribosomal RNA (428 nucleotides) under uncultured bacterium. RNAcentral's name for it is "partial 16S ribosomal RNA". It matches the Rfam family "Bacterial small subunit ribosomal RNA", at positions 354 to 796 of the family's 1533-position model. The record is from RNAcentral.